AACGAACGCUGGCGGCAGGCUUAACACAUGCAAGUCGCGCGCAUCCUUCGUGGUGAGCGGCACACGGGUGAGUAACUCGUGGGAACGUACCCUUUCCUACGGAAUAGCUCCGGGAAACUGGAAUUAAUACCGCAUACUCCCUUAGGGGGAAAGAUUUCUCGGGGAAGGAUCGGCCCGCGUUGGAUUAGCUAGGUGGUGGGGUAAAGGCCUACCAAGGCGACGAUCCAUAGCUGGUCUGAGAGGAUGAUCAGCCACAUUGGGACUGAGACACGGCCCAAACUCCUACGGGAGGCAGCAGUGGGGAAUAUUGGACAAUGGGCGCAAGCCUGAUCCAGCCAUGCCGCGUGAGUGAUGAAGGCCUUAGGGUUGUAAAGCUCUUUCAGUAGGGAAGAUAAUGACGGUACCUACAGAAGAAGCCCCGGCUAACUUCGUGCCAGCCGCCGCCGUAA
Molecule: ribosomal RNA, 449 nt
Filed under: uncultured bacterium
Lineage: Bacteria
Description: partial 16S ribosomal RNA
Rfam family: Bacterial small subunit ribosomal RNA
Source: RNAcentral